UACGUAGGGUGCGAGCGUUAAUCGGAAUUACUGGGCGUAAAGCGUGCGCAGGCGGUUUUGUAAGCCAGAUGUGAAAUCCCCGGGCUUAACCUGGGAAUGGCAUUUGGGACUGCAAGGCUGGAGUGCGGCAGAGGAGACUAGAAUUCCUGGUGUAGCAGUGAAAUGCGUAGAUAUCAGGAGGAACACCGGCGGCGAAGGCGGGUCUCUGGGCCAUAACUGACGCUGAGGAGCGAAAGCGUGGGGAGCGAACAGG
Molecule: ribosomal RNA, 253 nt
Filed under: uncultured bacterium
Lineage: Bacteria
Description: partial 16S ribosomal RNA
Rfam family: Bacterial small subunit ribosomal RNA
Source: RNAcentral